GAAAUGCGAUAAUUAAUGUGAAUUGCAGAAUUCAGUGAAUCAUCGAGUCUUUGAACGCACAUUGCGCCCCCUGGUAUUCCGGGGGGCAUGCCUGUCCGAGCGUCAUUGCUGCCCUCAAGCACGGCUUGUGUGUUGGGCUUCCGUCCCUGGCAACGGGGACGGGCCCAAAAGGCAGUGGCGGCACCAUGUCUGGUCCUCGAGCGUAUGGGGCUUUGUCACCCGCUCCCGUAGGUCCAGCUGGCAGCUAGCCUCGCAACCAAUCUUUUUAACCAGGUUGACCUCGGAUCUGGUAGGGAUACCCGCUGAACUUAAGC
RNAcentral lists this unclassified non-coding RNA (314 nucleotides) under plant metagenome. Its description in RNAcentral is "partial contains 5.8S ribosomal RNA, internal transcribed spacer 2, and large subunit ribosomal RNA". The stretch from base 1 to 105 matches the Rfam family "5.8S ribosomal RNA", at positions 50 to 154 of the family's 154-position model. The record is from RNAcentral.